GCCGGGAUGGCCGAGUGGAUCAAGGCGCAGGCCUUGAGAGCCUGUGGCCCAUCAGGGCCUCGAGGGUUCGAAUCCCUCUCCCGGCGCCA
This 89-nucleotide transfer RNA is filed under the name Candidatus Bathyarchaeota archaeon. RNAcentral describes it as "tRNA-Ser". It matches the Rfam family "tRNA". Rfam says of the family: Transfer RNA (tRNA) molecules are approximately 80 nucleotides in length. Their secondary structure includes four short double-helical elements and three loops (D, anti-codon, and T loops). Lineage: Archaea; Thermoproteati; Candidatus Bathyarchaeota. The record is from RNAcentral.